UUCCAUGGUAGGGGUGGAAGGUCAACUCUGGCCAGUGAGCUCCAGGGAGAAGGAGACCAAACCAUUCUGACUCCUGGGGACCCUGGAAAGAUAAAGCUACACAAAGGUGACCCUACCAGCCACUGGCCACAUCCUGCCUCUGAAAAAAAGACUGGUGAGCCAUCAUCCUAGAUGAGGGACGGGACACUCAGAAGUAACUCGCUCCAAGCCACACAGCUGACACUCAGGGAGGGUCUGAGACAUCAUGCAGUCCUUUACUGGCAGAUCUCUGGGUCCCGUCCUACACCUCACCUUUCCUGACUUCUUCAGCUCACACCUGGAUCUGCUCCUCCCCACCUCCUCCGGAAGCCUUCCCUGAUGUAUCCAGCCUGGACUCAUGGCCCCUGUACUGUCCUGUCUCCUCCACACCUGUGCAUGUGGACAGCUUCCUACCUGUCAUCGCUGUGCCCACAGCCUGGUACAGAGCCUUGGCUGGCCUCACCAAGUGUGUGAAUGAAUAAACGAAAGAAAGCAUUUCUAGCCAUUCCCUCCCCUCCAGCACUGCCCCUAUCAGCCUUACCUGCCAUGGUCACCCCCGCCUCCUGAGGGGCCUAGGCUCCCAUCCACCAAGGUGACCCUCCUCAAACUCAACCCCACGUGGGUCUGCCCACACCCUGAGGCUUUCCAUGUAAGACAGAGUAGCAACCCCUUCAAAACUGGCCUCUGCUGUGACUUUUUCUGGGUCCCCCAGCAUCUCCAAUGCCUUGGAGUCCUUGUCCCUUCUCACCAAAGCUCUUAAUCUUUCAGCACCCAAUGAAAUCUUGGUGAUUUUUCCUGGAGGCCUCUCACACCCAGACUGGCAUUUCCACCUCCUCCUGGGUACUCUGCUGGCACUUCUUCAGUAGAUGUUUUCGUUUCUGUUUUCUCUCUAGAUAAAGUCUCGUGUAGCCCAGGCUAGCCUCCAAUUCAUUAUGUAGUCAAGGAUGUCUGUGCUGUCAACUUGAGACAAGCCAUUCAUCUGGGAUCAGGGAGCCUCCACUGAGAAAAUGCCUCUGUCAAGUUGUCUAUAGGCAAGUCUGUGGGUCAUUUUCUUGUUAAUGAUUAAUGUGGGAGAACCCAGCCCACUGUGAGCGGCACUGACCCUGGAGAGGUUGUCCUGCGUUAUAUAAAAGUACGCUAUGAAGAGAAGCCAGUAAGCAGAGCCCUCCAGGACCUCUGCUUCAUUCUGUUCCUGCCUCCAGGUUCCUGCUUUGGGUGCUUGCCCUGACUUUCUUCAUGAUGGACUGUAACCUGUAAGGUGAAAUAAACCCUUUCCUACCCAA
This is a long non-coding RNA of Peromyscus eremicus (cactus mouse), 1301 nucleotides long. RefSeq lists it as uncharacterized. NCBI's taxonomy places the organism in Eukaryota, Metazoa, Chordata, Mammalia, Rodentia, Cricetidae. The transcript is spliced from 3 exons. The record is from RefSeq and is a predicted model, not a curated record.